Molecule: ribosomal RNA, 445 nt
Filed under: uncultured bacterium
Lineage: Bacteria
Description: bacterial SSU rRNA
Rfam family: Bacterial small subunit ribosomal RNA
Source: RNAcentral
CGCUGGCGGCGUGCCUAAUACAUGAUGCGCUAAUAACAUGCAAGUCGAACUGGAGUACCCGAGUGAGUAAUCAUUUGGAAUGCUUAGUGGCGCACCCUUUAGCUGGGUGACUAACGCGUUGGGUGACCUGCUCCGAAGAGGGGGACAACAGUCGAAAGGGCUGCUAAUACCCCAUGUGAUCUAACAGGUUAGAGGCUGAUAGAUAAAAGACUUCGGUCGCUUCUUUGGAGGGGCCUGCGUCCCAUCAGCUAGUGGUAGGGUAAAGGCCUUUACCAAGGCAAAGACGGGUAGGGGACCUGAGAGGGUGACCCCCCACAAUGGAACUGAAACACGUCCAUACACUGAUACGGGUGGCAGCAGUAGGUAAUAUUGCACAAUGGGCAAAGCCUGAUGCAGCAACGCCGGCGCCGUGCGCAGGAAGGCCUUCGGGUUGUAAAGCCUUUUC